This is a long non-coding RNA of Pogoniulus pusillus (Red-fronted tinkerbird), 268 nucleotides long. RefSeq lists it as uncharacterized. The transcript is spliced from 3 exons. The record is from RefSeq and is a predicted model, not a curated record. NCBI's taxonomy places the organism in Eukaryota, Metazoa, Chordata, Aves, Piciformes, Lybiidae.
GCGACAUGGCCUGCGCCGAGCUGUGGAUCGGAGCGAUGGGGAUGUUGACGGUGCACGAUUGGGCUAGUGGCACAUACGAUCUGACCUCCACCUAUCUUAACCCAUAACAAGGCAGACCUCCAGCUCCUCCUUACCUGGUAAAUCAUCUUCAUCUUCACUGAAAACAUUUGGAUUGAAGACAGAGCUGGCUGAGUCUAGUCUGGGUGAUUUCCAAAGUGUGUGUUGGGGGCUGGGUAACCCAAACCAUCACACCUUCCUUCCAAUUAAG